This 474-nucleotide ribosomal RNA is filed under the name uncultured bacterium. Its description in RNAcentral is "bacterial SSU rRNA". It matches the Rfam family "Bacterial small subunit ribosomal RNA", at positions 28 to 503 of the family's 1533-position model. The record is from RNAcentral.
GAUGAACGCUGGCGGCGUGCUUAACACAUGCAAGUCGAACGGGGAACCUUUUAUUGAAGCUUCGGCAGAUUUAGAUUGUUUCUAGUGGCGGACGGGUGAGUAACGCGUGGGUAACCUGCCUUAUACAGGGGGAUAACAGUCAGAAAUGACUGCUAAUACCGCAUAAGCGCACAGAGCUGCAUGGCUCAGUGUGAAAAACUCCGGUGGUAUAAGAUGGACCCGCGUUGGAUUAGCUAGUUGGUGAGGUAACGGCCCACCAAGGCGACGAUCCAUAGCCGGCCUGAGAGGGUGAACGGCCACAUUGGGACUGAGACACGGCCCAGACUCCUACGGGAGGCAGCAGUGGGGAAUAUUGCACAAUGGGGGAAACCCUGAUGCAGCGACGCCGCGUGAAGGAAGAAGUAUCUCGGUAUGUAAACUUCUAUCAGCAGGGAAGAAAAUGACGGUACCUGACUAAGAAGCCCCGGCUAACUA